RNAcentral lists this ribosomal RNA (470 nucleotides) under uncultured bacterium. Its description in RNAcentral is "bacterial SSU rRNA". It matches the Rfam family "Bacterial small subunit ribosomal RNA", at positions 28 to 501 of the family's 1533-position model. The record is from RNAcentral.
AACGAACGCUGGCGGCGUGCUUAACACAUGCAAGUCGAGCGGUAAGGCCCUUUCGGGGGUACGACGAGCGGCGAACGGGUGAGUAACACGUGGGUGACCUGCCCUCAGCUCUGGGAUAAGCCUGGGAAACCGGGUCUAAUACUGGAUAUGACUCCAUGACGCAUGUUGUGGGGUGGAAAGCCUUGUGCGGCUGAGGAUGGGCCCGCGGCCUAUCAGCUUGUUGGUGGGGUGAUGGCCUACCAAGGCGACGACGGGUAGCCGGCCUGAGAGGGCGACCGGCCACACUGGGACUGAGACACGGCCCAGACUCCUACGGGAGGCAGCAGUGAGGAAUAUUGCGCAAUGGGCGACAGCCUGACGCAGCGACGCCGCGUGGGGAGUGAAGGUCUUCGGAUUGUAAACCCCUUUCGGGAGGGAAGAUGGGACGAGCAAUCGUUCGGACGGUACCUCCAGAAGCAGCCACGGCUAAC